Molecule: ribosomal RNA, 468 nt
Filed under: uncultured bacterium
Lineage: Bacteria
Description: partial 16S ribosomal RNA
Rfam family: Bacterial small subunit ribosomal RNA
Source: RNAcentral
GAUGAACGCUGGCGGCGUGCUUAACACAUGCAAGUCGAACGGUGAAGGCGGAGCUUGCUCUGCUGGAUCAGUGGCGAACGGGUGAGUAACACGUGAGCAAUCUGCCCCUGACUCUGGGAUAAGCGCUGGAAACGGCGUCUAAUACUGGAUACGAGCUGCGAAGGCAUCUUCAGCAGCUGGAAAGAAUUGCGGUCAGGGAUGAGCUCGCGGCCUAUCAGCUUGUUGGUGAGGUAAUGGCUCACCAAGGCGUUGACGGGUAGCCGGCCUGAGAGGGUGACCGGCCACACUGGGACUGAGACACGGCCCAGACUCCUACGGGAGGCAGCAGUGGGGAAUAUUGCACAAUGGGCGAAAGCCUGAUGCAGCAACGCCGCGUGCGGGAUGACGGCCUUCGGGUUGUAAACCGCUUUUGCCAGUGAAGAAGCGAAAGUGACGGUAAUGGCUGAAGAAGCACCGGCUAACUACGUG